UACGUAGGGUGCAAGCGUUAAUCGGAAUUACUGGGCGUAAAGCGUGCGCAGGCGGCUUUGCAAGACAGAUGUGAAAUCCCCGGGCUCAACCUGGGAACUGCAUUUGUGACUGCAUCGCUCGAGUGUGGCAGAGGGGGAUGGAAUUCCGCGUGUAGCGGUGAAAUGCGUAGAUAUGCGGAGGAACACCGAUGGCGAAGGCAAUCCCCUGGGCCUGCACUGACGCUCAUGCACGAAAGCGUGGGGAGCAAACAGG
This 253-nucleotide ribosomal RNA is filed under the name uncultured bacterium. RNAcentral's name for it is "partial 16S ribosomal RNA". It matches the Rfam family "Bacterial small subunit ribosomal RNA", at positions 524 to 776 of the family's 1533-position model. The record is from RNAcentral.